Molecule: non-coding RNA, 813 nt
Organism: Cajanus cajan (pigeon pea)
Lineage: Eukaryota; Viridiplantae; Streptophyta; Magnoliopsida; Fabales; Fabaceae
Source: RefSeq, a predicted model, not a curated record
UAUUCACGGGAAAUAUUAAUUAAAAAAAAUUAAACUUCUCCCUCUCUUUAAUUCCCAAAAUCACAAGACUUCUUGUCUCCUUAAAACAAAAAUUAGAAUCCCUAAAAUUUUCUCAUUACGUAUGCUUGCUUCUCUCUGUGCAUUCCUCUCUACGUUCCUCUCUGCAUCUUUCUCAUCACGUUCCUCUCUGUGCGUUUCUCUCAGUGACAUGGAAAUAGAUUUUGGAUCUGAAGAGAAUGCUUCCGUUGUAUUUUCUGCCUUAGCUGUUGACAAAGAGAUUCUAUCCUAGACAAUGGUGCACCUUGGGGAAGGAUAGGAGUGUCUGAAGAACAACUUCAACCAGCACAGAAAGCAGUUUGCAGAAUCUGGUUUAAUAGAAAAUCGGAGAAGAAAUAGAUAGGAGGGCAGAAAGAAAGUUCAGGUACAAAAUGCAGAAGGAAGGAAUUUUAAAGUAAAAUAUGAGUACUACAGACAAACGUGAAAAAGAUAUCUUCAAUUUUGAAGGUGAAGUGAAAUCAAGUGCUAAAUUACUUAGGAGAUUUCAAAUCAAGCGUGAAAAGGUAUUAGGAAAGACUUGAUAAUGAAGAUCAGCCUUAUGAUGAUGAAGAGACUGAAUGAUGUUACUUACAUGGAUAGAUGACUAGCUAUGCAUAAUAUUCCUAGAUAACACUUUAUAUUGAAAUUUAGAAAUUUUAUGUAAACUUUGACAUCUUUGGAUAAUUUUAUUUGGAGUUUUAUGCUUUUGAAUUGUCAUAUACUUGUAACUAAUUAAUGCAAGUGAAUUUUACAUGUGUUUGGAUUUUAUUUUAUAAU